RNAcentral lists this ribosomal RNA (465 nucleotides) under Vreelandella stevensii. RNAcentral's name for it is "partial 16S ribosomal RNA". It matches the Rfam family "Bacterial small subunit ribosomal RNA", at positions 338 to 795 of the family's 1533-position model. Lineage: Bacteria; Pseudomonadati; Pseudomonadota; Gammaproteobacteria; Oceanospirillales; Halomonadaceae. The record is from RNAcentral.
CCUACGGGAGGCAGCAGUGGGGAAUAUUGGACAAUGGGCGAAAGCCUGAUCCAGCCAUGCCGCGUGUGUGAAGAAGGCCUUCGGGUUGUAAAGCACUUUCAGUGGGGAAGAAAGCCUUGGGGCUAAUACCCUCGAGGAAGGACAUCACCCACAGAAGAAGCACCGGCUAACUCCGUGCCAGCAGCCGCGGUAAUACGGAGGGUGCGAGCGUUAAUCGGAAUUACUGGGCGUAAAGCGCGCGUAGGCGGUCUGAUAAGCCGGUUGUGAAAGCCCCGGGCUCAACCUGGGAACGGCAUCCGGAACUGUCAGGCUAGAGUGCAGGAGAGGAAGGUAGAAUUCCCGGUGUAGCGGUGAAAUGCGUAGAGAUCGGGAGGAAUACCAGUGGCGAAGGCGGUCUUCUGGACUGACACUGACGCUGGGGUGCGAAAGCGUGGGUAGCAAACAGGAUUAGAUACCCCAGUAGUC